GAUCAGUGUUUAGAACAGUGCCCCAUGCA
RNAcentral lists this non-coding RNA (29 nucleotides) under Homo sapiens (human). Lineage: Eukaryota; Metazoa; Chordata; Mammalia; Primates; Hominidae. The record is from RNAcentral.